GACGAACGCUGGCGGCGUGCUUAACACAUGCAAGUCGAACGGAAAGGCCCUGCUUUUGUUGGGUGCUCGAGUGGCGAACGGGUGAGUAACACGUGAGUAACCUGCCCUUGACUUUGGGAUAACUUCAGGAAACUGGGGCUAAUACCGGAUAGGAGCUCCUGCAGCAUGGUGGGGGUUGGAAAGUUUCGGUGGUUGGGGAUUGACUCGCGGCUUAUCAGCUUGUUGGUGGGGUAGUGGCUUACCAAGGCUUUGACGGGUAGCCGGCCUGAGAGGGUGACCGGCCACAUUGGAACUGAGAUACGGCCCAGACUACUACGGGAGGCAGCAGCGGGGAGUAUUACACAAUGGGCGGAAGCCAGAUGACGAAACGCCGCGUGCGGGACGACGGCUUUCGGGUUGUAAACCGCUUUCGACUAUAACGAGGCGUAAGUGACGGUAAUGGGUAAAGAAGCACCGGCUAACUACGUG
RNAcentral lists this ribosomal RNA (468 nucleotides) under uncultured bacterium. Its description in RNAcentral is "partial 16S ribosomal RNA". It matches the Rfam family "Bacterial small subunit ribosomal RNA", at positions 28 to 507 of the family's 1533-position model. The record is from RNAcentral.